GGUGGCGGAGAGAAAAAGUUCUGGAGACACCUGGUUGGGAGCAGGCUAAGGAAACAAAUGGGGAGGAAUUAGCCACAAAUCCUCAAAUAGACAGCUACUCAAAGGCAUCUUCACGGACAAUUUCCAAGCAUUGGAUGCAGUGGUGCAUUCUUGCAUUGGGCAGUGAUUGUGUGCACACAUCUCUUUAAGGGAGAGUGGAAAUGGGGUGAGGAGGAAAAUGGGAGUAGGAUAGAGUGUAGCGUUGACAUUUAUUUUCUUUAAAGGAAGACCCGAGCAUACCUGAGAGCUCAGUGAAGAAAGUAGUUCUGGCGAAUCGGAUUAAUAUGGUAUGAUCAGCCUUUAGCAAGAUUCUAUCACUUUUCCCACUGAUGAUGUGAGACGGUGUCCGCGUGUGUAAGUGCACACACGUGUGUGUGUGUGUGUGUUGCAUCUUCUGAGUAUUUUUCAAGGAGAAGCUUUUUAGUGAUCUGAAAAAGUCAAUUCAGUUAGCCACUAGAGUUCAAUCAAAAACUUCGGAAGAGUGCAUCAUCUUAAAGUACAUAAGAGAGAAUCAUGACCUCCAGCUCAGAAUUCAAGAAUAGGCAGGUUUGUGAAAUAGUAAGCUCAGAAAGUUGAGGGCCAGUGAACUCCUAUUUCAAGUUCUUGCGGGUGUUUGUACUUUUUUCCCAGCACCACUGAAACUUGACCUUCGGCCGGCGCGGUGGCUCACGCCUGUAAUCCCAGCACUUUGGGAGGCCGAGAUGGGCGGAUCACGAGGUCAGAAGAUCGAGACCAUCCUGGCUAACACGGUGAAACCCCGUCUCUACUAAAAAUACAAAAAAAUUAGCCGAGCGUGGUGGCGGGCUCCUGUAGUCCCAGCUACUUGGGAGGCUGAGGCAGGAGAAUGG
RNAcentral lists this long non-coding RNA (887 nucleotides) under Homo sapiens (human). RNAcentral describes it as "non-protein coding lnc-GPR183-47:13". Lineage: Eukaryota; Metazoa; Chordata; Mammalia; Primates; Hominidae. The record is from RNAcentral.